AAGUGUUCGCGCGACUGGCGAGAAGAGAUGGUGAACCAUCGGGGAACGCGAACCUUGUAAUGCCGCUCGCCUGGGCACCCAUU
Molecule: non-coding RNA, 83 nt
Filed under: Devosia limi
Lineage: Bacteria; Pseudomonadati; Pseudomonadota; Alphaproteobacteria; Hyphomicrobiales; Devosiaceae
Also listed under: 1 other name
Description: ZTP sequence
Rfam family: ZMP/ZTP riboswitch aptamer (pfl RNA motif)
About the family: Previously known as pfl RNA. ZMP is also known as AICAR.
Source: RNAcentral